GACGAACGCUGGCGGCGUGCUUAACACAUGCAAGUCGAACGGAAAGGCCCUGCUUUUGUGGGGUGCUCGAGUGGCGAAAGGGUGAGUAACACGUGAGUAACCUGCCCUUGACUUUGGGAUAACUUCAGGAAACUGGGGCUAUUACCGGAUAUGAGCUCCUGCUGCAUGGGGGGUGUGGGAAAGUUUCGGCGGUUGGGGAUGGAAUCGCGGUUUAUCAGCUUGUUGGUGGGGUAGUGGCUUACCAAGGCUUUGACGGGUAGCCGGCCUGAGAGGGUGACCGGCCACAUUGGGACUGAGGUACGGCCCAGACUCCUACGGGAGGCAUCAGUGGGGAAUAUUGCACGAUGGGCGGAAGCCGGAUGCAGCAACGCCGCGUGCGGGAUGACGGCCUUCGGGUUGUAAACCGCUUGCGCCUGUGACGAAGCGUGAGUGACGGUAAUGGGUAAAGAAGCACCGGCUAACUACGUG
Molecule: ribosomal RNA, 468 nt
Filed under: uncultured bacterium
Lineage: Bacteria
Description: partial 16S ribosomal RNA
Rfam family: Bacterial small subunit ribosomal RNA
Source: RNAcentral